RNAcentral lists this ribosomal RNA (253 nucleotides) under uncultured bacterium. Its description in RNAcentral is "partial 16S ribosomal RNA". It matches the Rfam family "Bacterial small subunit ribosomal RNA", at positions 524 to 776 of the family's 1533-position model. The record is from RNAcentral.
UACGUAGGGUGCAAGCGUUAAUCGGAAUUACUGGGCGUAAAGCGUGCGCAGGCGGUUGUGCAAGCCAGAUGUGAAAUCCCCGGGCUCAACCUGGGAAUUGCAUUUGUGACUGCACGGCUAGAGUGUGUCAGAGGGGGGUAGAAUUCCACGUGUAGCAGUGAAAUGCGUAGAGAUGUGGAGGAAUACCGAUGGCGAAGGCAGCCCCCUGGGAUAACACUGACGCUCAUGCACGAAAGCGUGGGGAGCAAACAGG